ACUAGAUAAGCCUAACUUGUUUUCUAUAGGUUUUCUAUCUUCAGAAAUAACUAGAGGCUCACGCCUAUAUUACAGUGUAGUGAGGCAUGUUUUUUACAUAAAUUUACUGUAUGAAAUAUACAUCAGCAGGUUAGGUAUUUUGUAUCAGCAGGUUAGGUAUUUUGUAUCAGCAGGUUAGAUAUUUUGUAUCAGCAGGUUAGGUAUUUUGUAUCAGCAGGUUAGGUAUUUUGUAUCAGCAGGUUAGGUAUUUUGUAUCAGCAGGUUAGGUAUUUUGUAUCAGCAGGUUAGGUAUUUUGUAUCAGCAGGUUAGAUAUUUUGUAUCAGCAGGUUAGGUAUUUUGUAUCAGCAGGUUAGGUAUUUUGUAUCAGCAGGUUAGGUAUUUUGUAUCAGCAGGUUAGAUAUUUUGUAUCAGCAGGUUAGGUAUUUUGUAUCAGCAGGUUAGAUAUUUUGUAUCAGCAGGUUAGGUAUUUUGUAUCAGCAGGUUAGGUAUUUUGUAUCAGCAGGUUAGGUAUUUUGUAUCAGCAGGUUAGAUAUUUUGUAUCAGCAGGUUAGGUAUUUUGUAUCAGCAGGUUAGGUAUUUUGUAUCAGCAGGUUAGGUAUUUUGUAUCAGCAGGUUAGGUAUUUUGUAUCAGCAGGUUAGGUAUUUUGUAUCAGCAGGUUAGGUAUUUUGUAUCAGCAGGUUAGGUAUUUUGUAUCAGCAGGUUAGGUAUUUUGAGCUUGCUUUCAGUAACUGUUUCCAUUGUUAGAUAUAUAGUACUGUUUAUUAUACUUGUGAUUUUUUUAUACCCAUAUUAUAGAGUUAAAUGAUUUUUCUGAACUGAUUUUUAUUACACUAUCUUUUCUGUAUCUUUGUUGAAAGUGGAAGGAUACAGAUCUAAAAAAAAACCUAUUUUGACCCACCUACAUAUUCAUUUAUGAAUACAAUAAAAUCAAUCUAUAUAAUCUUUCAAUUAAAAAAAAUUGUUUAAAAACAAUAAACAUGUUUAUCCUGAAACCAGAAAUUACAAGUCAAGUUAUGACGGAGGUGAUUAACACCUCAUCAAUAAAUAAGAAGUGGAGGUCAUUAUCGACUUUCAUAUGUAAACAUUCAAGUGACCUUGAAAAGGAAGUGUAGCAUCUGUGGACUGGUCAUAAUGUGAUGUAAAAAUAAGCACAUCUCAUUAACCUGAAUGUACCUGUGAAAAGGAAGUCAUGUAUAUGUAAACUGGUCAUAAUGUGAUGUAAAAGUAAGCACAUCUCAUUAACCUGAAUGUACCUGUGAAAAGGAAGUCAUGUAUAUGUAAACUGGUUAUAAUGUGAUGUAACAUUCAUCUAAAUAUAAUAUAACAUGUAUCAGUAUUGCUUAUAUUGCCAAAUAUGGAGGUGUAAAUCAUUUAUAGUUUAAAAGUGUUUAUUUUACUGUCAAAUAUGUUUUAGGAAUAUAGAUACAUGUAUAUACCGUAGUAUUUCUGGCUAAUUUUCAUAAUGUAGGAUUCAGUUAAAUAUUUUAAAGCUAAUAUUUAGAACAUCCUGAUCUUUGGUCUAGUCAUUGAUCUCAAUUAAAACUUCUAUUAUAUAGAA
Mytilus californianus (California mussel) is the source of this 1560-nucleotide long non-coding RNA. RefSeq lists it as uncharacterized. The record is from RefSeq and is a predicted model, not a curated record. The transcript is spliced from 7 exons. Lineage: Eukaryota; Metazoa; Mollusca; Bivalvia; Mytilida; Mytilidae.